CAUCAACAUAUGCAAGAGGGUUUUUUUUUGUGUGUUAUUGCAAAUGUGAGCUGCCAACAGAGAAAACGUCACAUCCAGUUCCUGAGUGAGACAGGGGACCUCCUCAACUGGGGAAGCAGAGGUGCUCCAGGCUUCUGGCCCACACGUCCAAGUUUUGAGAAAAGUGGAGUGUGCCUGAUCACUGGGGCCAAGGCACAGCCAAUUGUUACAGUAUUAACUGCGGCAUUCUGAGGAUUAAAGGUCCCAAAUCUCUUUGACAAGCUACAGAAAAGAAGUAACUAACCUGGCAUGUGAGUUAGAGCCUCUGAGUUCAUCGACUCUAACUCAGCGUUGGAGACUUUAUUGGAAGGUUCCAGAACAAGAUGCUGCCAGACUUGCUGAGUUUCUCCAACACUUUCUGCUUUCUUCCAAAGAAUUGCCCCUGAAUGACUUAGUUUAUUAUUAAGGCUUGAUUCUCCAUAAUGUUUGAAAUGUUCUUUUUCAUUCAUGGUAUUGAUUGCCUUCCUUAAAUGCCCUGGAGAAGAUGGUGGUGACUUGCUUGCUUGAAUGACUGUAGUUUUGGAUUAUUCCUGGUGGAGGGCUUAUGCCCGAAACAUCGAUUCUCCUGCUCCUCGAAUGCUGUCUGACUUGCUGUGC
Non-coding RNA from Chiloscyllium plagiosum (whitespotted bambooshark), 636 nucleotides. The record is from RefSeq and is a predicted model, not a curated record. Lineage: Eukaryota; Metazoa; Chordata; Chondrichthyes; Orectolobiformes; Hemiscylliidae.